GUGAGGAAGGACACACUCCUGUGAGAAUGUGCAGAGCGGCACCCCGCCCUGACACGAGGGCGCCGGAAAAGGUUCCAGAGGGCGCAGCGCCAACGCCGAGCUCUAAAAGCAGGGACACACCCAAGGGAGAAAGAGCUGGCACUGAAUAAAUAUGGACAAAACUGAGAUACAUUUAAUAAACAACACAAGAAGACAUGGUGUUUGCCUGGAUCCAAGUUGAAAGUGAAAGGGAAGAGACAAGAAUAAUCAGCAUCAGGAAAAUUGAGUCUCGCGCACAGCUGGCCAAAGCAAGGCCUGCAUGGGAAGAGAAACCACAGCGCACAGGUCCCCCUCUGGCCCCAGCGCAGCCCGCCCGCCCGCCCGACGCGCGCCCGCAGGACCACUAGGGGUGGGGGUGGAGCGCCGACUUCCCAAGAGCACACAGAAGUCAUUCUCAGAGUCAGCAAAAAAGGAGAUCUGCCGCCACCAGAAUAGGAAAAGAUAAACCAGGUAAUAGAUAAGAGG
Cervus elaphus (red deer) is the source of this 504-nucleotide long non-coding RNA. RefSeq lists it as uncharacterized. The transcript is spliced from 3 exons. The record is from RefSeq and is a predicted model, not a curated record. Lineage: Eukaryota; Metazoa; Chordata; Mammalia; Artiodactyla; Cervidae.